GCUCAGCAACUACUCUUGGAGGAAGGAGCCAUGAUUUCCCCUGUUGCAAGAGUCAAAGCUAAACAAAACGAUUUAAUUUCGUAAGUAACUUGUUGUUCUUGCACAUAACCGGGUUACUGUAGUUCCUCACACUGAUGAUGAAAUUAAGUUUGUAAAUGUCUGGUCUCGAUAUAUUUAGAAACGUAAUCAUAUCUAUGCAAACUCAUCGAAGCAGAAGCGAGUAUCCAAACAUCAGUGUCCUUGCUAGGUCUAGGCUACACAAAGUUGCGAUAUUAAACACGUAUUUUCAUCCGUUUUGGCUGCUGCAUCGGGAUUACAAAUACAUUUGAGUACAGAGUAGUAGGCUAUCUGCCUACUAGUUUUUUUUCUUCUAAUAGCAGCUAUCAUUAAAUGAGGAAAGAACUGUAGAACAGGGAAGUUUCCUUUGAGCUCUUUAGACUGUGCAAGAUUGCUGUAACCCUUCCUGUAAGCUCAGCCUCUUGGGAACACAGUUUCUCCACACUGAAACUGAUAAAAUAAAUAGGAAAUGGCACAUUGUUUUGCACUUCGGUGUACCCUGGAGUUUUUUUUCACAUUGACACGUUGUAUCUUGUACCCUUUACUGUAUUUUUUAUUUGUCAUUUUUUAUGGCCCUACCUUUCUUGCACGCUUGUACAAAACAAAUGAUUAUAUGAUUUUGAUGAUUUAGGAUUGUAGGGCAUGAGCUCCAUUAAUUUAAGAUAGUUUGAAAGAAAAAUACUGACUGUUGAAGUUUAUAAUCUUAAAUAUAUAUUUUUGGCUUUUUUUGAGCCCCUCUGGUUGAACACUGGUCCCUCCUUGGCCCCCCUAUUAAAAUGUGUCUAGAACCGCCACUGGCCUUGUGUUUUGUCGGUCAACAGAUUUUAGGGGCUGUUGUAGUGGUCGUUAGUGCAUCGACGCUCGUGUGUACCGCUGGUGGUGGGGGUCGGUAGUUGCUAGGAUACAAAGCUUGUACCCGCCGUUACCAGGCUGUUGGUUGCUAGGGGGCCGGAGCUCUCUGCAGCUCGUGCAGCGUGUGUCAGUUCCGUCGGUGAGCUCGUGGUGCUGCGGUCCUCCUCUUAAUUCAACGGGAAGCCUCGUCCUGACAGCUCAUCAUACCCUCCGUCCAGACCCUUUAUCCCGUCAGAGCACCCGCACCAAUACACUCCCUACUGAUUGCGGCCAGCGAACAAUAUCUGACAGCCCAUUGGUGGGUAUCUGAUGAGGCUGGCAGCUCAGAAGAUUCCGGUCGGCGCUCCGGUUGCGUACUGUGGAGCUUCUGAGCCACUGCACAUCACUGGGUCUCCCUACGGGUGGUCCUGUGUUCAACCCCCCUAGACUCCAGAACCCGGGCCCCCGGCGCAUCCAAUGACGAGAGCCCCUACCCAAGCCAGCCCAUCUGCAAUCUCUAUCUACAGACCAUAGUUAAGCCACUGAAACUAGCAGUCCUGCGAGCCGUCGCCUCCUAGCUGCUGCUAGCAGCUAACUAAUGCUAGCAGCAUGCUGUGGGAUACUUCCGGAGUUCCAGGAAGAAGCUACAGCGUAUGUUUAGCGCUAGAUAUCCGGAGCUGACCACACCGGGGACCCCCUCACUGACCUUGCAAUCGCUGACAACCAAUCUCUUGACGGUGGAGUGCGCAGAUCCCCAGGUCAUUAAGAACAGCCCCUAGACGCAUCAUGCCCACCAACCAGUCUUCUCCCUGGGGCAGUGGGAGGCUGCGGACCCCCUCAAAGCCAGACUCCCCUACCACCAUGACCACUGCUGCUAAGCACCACGGCAAUUCACCAGCACCUGAAGAGGCACCACCCGGUAGCAGCUGCAGAUGACCGAGCACCAUUGAAUUCUAAGAAUGCAUUACUUUGCACUUUUAUUUUGGAAUUUAAAGGCAAUAAACAUGUAUUGAAAUGUUAAGGAAUUCAUAUUGUUUUCAUUCAGAUAUGUAAAUCAACAUGUAUAAAUUGCUAUUAGUCAAUUAAUCGGGAGAUAAUCGAGAAUCAAAUCGAAAUCUAAUCGGUUCGAAUCGUUAGAUGAAUCGAUGCAUCGAAAAUUAAGAAGUUAAUCGUUUAAAAAUUAAUCGUUUAUCCCAGCCCUAGACGCCACCCGGAAAGCUGUUGUCGCGGUAGCAUUGGCAGAGGACCAGGCGCUCCAAAAUAAGUAGACUAUAGGCCAUAGGCAGAGAUACGGACGCAGUAAGGUAUUGCAGUAAUACGAGUGAUUGAAAUUGCCAUUUAAACCACCAAAGUGGUCCAAGCACAAUGAAAACAGUUCAUACUUGAAGUCACAAUGGGCGCAGCCAUCUUGAAUUCUGUCUCGCAAUUUUGCUCGGUCACCACUGAGUUCAACCGAGAUGGCGAGUUCGACGUCCGAGGAAAACGGGCGUGUUUGUGUGUGUCGCUAGGCAACGUCCUCGGACCUCCGAGACGGAUGGAUAUUAAAACGCAGCAUAAGCUGAAAAGCUGCUCCCGACCAGGUUUGGUUGGGAGCGUAAGUCACCAUGGUGAUACAGAGACGCUUAAAGAGACUUUCGUGGUACAGCUAACCCAGGCUUUCAGCUCAACAUACCUCGCUAACCCUCUAAUCGAGCUUCGUAGUACAGGCCCCUGGAUUGGGCUUUGCGGGUUUGUUUACCGGUGUUGCUAUGGUUACCGGUCUUGCGUGUUCCAACGGUUUAUUAGGUAUCUAAUAAAUCGCUGUCUAAUCAAUACUUAAUUCACUGCCUCUUCCGUGGUCAUUACAAUAUUAUGAAUAGACUGCUCUGUAAAAAAAAAAAAAAUUAUACCAGAAUUUUCAGUCGCACCGGUGCGCCCAAAUAAAAUAUUUGGUCGCACUACCCCGAAUUCUAGGCGCAUGUGCGUCCAAAUUAGGCGCACUCUGGAGCCCUGGGUUCUUCAUGAGAGAUACAGAUUCUCAUCAGAGGGUGUUCGUUAUUUGAUCGUCCUUUUGGACCUUAUGUAGACAAUGCUUACUGUUGCGCAUUGUGUCUCCGUGACAGAGUGAUAGAGUGGAGGUAGCGCGUCAGUCUUGAAUUUCUGCGCGGGGGGUUCGACUCCCAAGUGACACGAAUUUAAGUGAAGCUUAAAAAGUCCCAGUUCUCAUGCAUAUGGAAUACUUAUUCACUAAAGCUUAUGGAAUUAUAUUUUUGUGCUUAUUUCGAACUUGAACCCAUAUUUUCAAGGCCUUGCUGGCACCACAUCUAUGGGGGUAAAAUGCAUGAUGAUAGACCGGCGAAUUUGAACCCCGGUCGCUGGCGUUCGGGUUUUAUACUAAUCCACUACGCUACAGCCGCUACCUCUCAGCGGUUGAAAACAUGCAAUACAUUUCUUACAUCGGGUGUAUUUAAAGUGAAUUCCCUAAAUGAUAGAAUAAGGCAGGAUGGACGUUGCUUAUGCAUUUUUAAAUCAUCAUCAUUCUAUUUGGAUUAAUGGCGAACAAUUCUGCAUUUGGCAUAGUUAUUUUAUAGACAAUAUGCAGAAUCUUUUCACUUAUAUGCAUAUAGACUGCUUGAUCUAUCGUAAAGGUGAGAAAAAUUACGCAAAAAAGCCCCUUUCAAGUGAACGCGCACUGAACCUAAAGCGGAAAACCUGGUUCAUCUAAUUGAAUCUAAAGUGAGCUUCGUGGUACCAUUUAACUCUGAUUGUGAUUUGCAGCUCUGUCGAGCCAGGUUUUCCCAAGAAAGCCUGGGUAUGUUCAGCGAGGUUUGUGGUAUACCCCCCAGCUCAGUUCUGAGGUCGCGUUUUCACUGCCGACGGUACCCAAAUGGUAGGCCGGAUGAUGAUCGCCGCGGCAGCUACGUAGACAUCGGAAAAGUUUUAUGUUAUUGUCGCGUUUUACAUGUCGCGUUUUACGCGACAUCUUCAUUGUAAAGAAUAAUACCUCGAGGCUACUGUUUGUUUGUUUCUUUGUUUUUAUCCCCACUUCGCCCGGAAGUGACGAUUCUGUCGACCAAUCAACGGAAGGGGUGUGUAGCUCGAAUUUUCCGGCACCCUUUCAGGAGUCUCAGUACCCCAACGGAUGAGUACUGAAGACGAGGGAAAAACGACUACGGCUCAGUCCGGGUCACGCCCACUUUUGGCAGUGGAAACGCAAUCCGUAACGCACCUUUGCGAACCGUACCUCACCCUGCAGUGGAAACGCGCCAUAAGGCUCCACAGGCCCCUGCCACUAUGUCCCAAUGCCAGGAAGAGACCCCCCAUUUAGUACUGCCUAGGGUCACAAAGCCCCAGGGAACUGAGAAAAUCAGGUGUAGUGGUCACCUGACUGGGCCCUGGGUAUUUUGUCCUAGUUAGAAUAAUAUUCUGUCUCUUUAUAUACUUAUCGUACUCAUUUAGCAACCUCAUAUCAGUCCCUCCAGGAAAAUGCAGCGUUUGUUUGUGAUUCAUGCGGCCAAAAAUCCUUGACUAUGCGGCACGUUUUCUUAAAAAAUGCGAUGAAAUAUGCGGCAUAUUUAUGCAAUUUUAUGCGAUGAAAUUGCGGGAACUCACUAGGCUACUACCUUAAUGUAAAGAGUCAUUUCUUAUUACUUUCUAUGAUAAACAAGCAUACUACAUCACAGAAAGUGCUGGGUAUAUUUACAAUUUACAAUUUGACCUGACGAGCUGGUUGUCGCCUUGCAUGGUUGACUCUGCCGCCGGUGUGUCAAUGGCCCUCAUUUAUCAAACGAGCGUACGACAGAAAACGUGCGUAAAAUGGACGUACGCUCAUUUCAACGUUGAGCUUGGCAUUUAUCAAUUUGAACGUGAGCGCAGGCUGCGUUUUUUUGGCGCAACAUACGGGUAUUUUAAUGAUGAAUAGUGCAGCACAAGUAGCCCAUGUUCAACAUCUGUAUUAAUUACUAAAUAAAUUGGAAUUAGCCCAGCCGUUCAAACAAUUACAAUCAAGUCAGGCCUAAUUAAAAACAGUAUUGCUAUGAAAAUAAUUAGAAUGUGACAGGUGAAAUGUUUAUUCAGCUGUCUAUAUUAACAGAAGCUUUGCCAAAGGUGGUCGUGUCUCAGCGAUGGCAGAUCUGGCUCUGUUAAGGACCUCAACGCACAGACGAGAGAGUUUUUCGAGACCGCGCCGAAUUUUUUAGGAGGGCGAUGAAUGGCUCUUGAGUCGUUUUCGUCUCCCAAGGCAUCUCCUGAUGGAGCUAUGCAAUGCUUUGGAGCCACAGUUAAGGCGAGAAACUAGGCGAUCAAACGCAAUACCUGUGCAGGUUUGCUCUACCUUGGGAUUUUUGGCCACCGGGAUCUUGCAGCGGGAGCUCGGGGACAGGUCUGCUAUUUCCCAGCCAAGUAUUAGCCGAACCAUGCCAGCAGUUUCGGCAGCUAUAAUGUCCCUCUCCGAACGUUAUAUUAAAUUCCCAUAUAAUAACGAUCAGCAAACUGGAAUCAAACGGGAUUUUUAUGCUAUUGCUAGGUUUCCAAAUGUGAUUGGUGCGGUUGAUUGUACCCAUGUGCGUAUGAACCAUCUAUUAAUGAUUACGCGUACAUCAACCGCAAAAGCUACCAUUCAGUUAAUGUUCCGAUUAUUUGCGAUGGCAGAAUGUCAAUCCUGAACAUGGUAGCCCGAUGGCCUGGGGGCACGCACGAUUCUUUUAUUUUCCAAAAUAGCAACGUUGGGCAUCGUCUACAUCAGGGCGCACUACAUGGUCAGAGUCAUCUCGGUGAGUUACGCUGCAGUCGCACUGCACCGGCCUCCUCCCGUUUCUUGCUUGGCCGGCUUCACAGCCGCAACACAUUUUUUGGUGCUGAGCUUCAUGUCGGACCAUUUUUUCUUCACCUUAUUCGGAAUUAAAUAACUAACGGAAUGCAAACAAUAGCAUAUAUGUGAAAUGUUUUAAGCUGGAUAACAGAAGUUGUACAUUUAAUUUAUUAUUUAAUUAAUUUAAUUAACAAACCUCUUCCGUAGCCCGACGAACAUUGGAAACACUAUUCACUGCAACAGUUAUUUCCUUCCAUAUAGCAUUCUUUUGCUGGCCUUUUAAUGCCAGCUAUAGGCUACCAAAUAAAACCAGACGGUUCGCAUCCACCAGUGAUCCGAGCGUCUCCAUUUGGGUCUCGGAAAAAUUCCUCUAUUUUACCGUUGGACGUUUCUCCAUGUCGUAAAAGUUAGGGGCGAGACUUCUGAAGACGUGCUUUUAUAUGGGUGUGUUACGUUAAUUACGAUCGAUCUCAGCCGCCGUAUUUAUCAACACCAAGAUUCUUCGUACGCUGGGAUUGGUGUGAUACGAAGGUUUCGGAAAUCUCACGUGGGUCCAAUCGUAAGAUGAAUCAUGCAUUCAGAUUUGCGCUCAUUUCUACGUUCGUUUGAUAAAUGAGGGCCAAUGUGUGUAUUAAACGAUGUAAGUCGCUUUGGAUAAAAGCAACUGCUAAAUGCCCUAAUUGUAAAUUGGAAUAUUUAAGUUCUCAUCUUGUUUUAUUUGAGACCUUAAAACAUGGCUCAAACUUACAAAACAUUGAGUACAACUUCUGUAGCUUUACAAAAAGAAUCUGCUACAACUUCUGUAAAAAUGAAUAAAUAAAAUAUAAAAAAAUAAAUGUUCCUGUUUUACAGAGGAAGCUUUUCAAAAGAGUAAUAAAAAAGUGCAAUCUUACAACUGCAAAGUUGCAUCAAUUCAUUGAAUGAAACUACAACAGUCCACUGUGAAAAUGAAAACUAACUGCGUAGCCUCUAACACUAGCCAAUCAUUCCUCAUCCUCCAUCCCCUCUCCCUCAACGUCCAUCUUUUUAACCAUCCUUGCAUAUUUGACUGCGGCAAAGUGGUUUUCCAGAGUUGACUUCCGCCUGUGGUCCAACAUGCUUUGCAAACUGCUUUGCACAGUCUUUUGCACUUAUCUUUGUUGGCAAAUGAGACCGCUUCAUCUUGCCUUCGUCGCGGGGUUUGCGAUGAUGUUCACGUUGCGUAAUUACGUCACUCCAUAACGUUCCCAUGGCAACAGGGGGAAAUCGCUGCUUUUUUCGUGGAAAUUGGCCAUUUAUGCGGUGAAAGUGCGGCAUAUUUGAAAAAAUGCCGCCCCCUGCAUGAAUAUGCAGCCUUAGGCUGAUUAUGCGUUGAAUUAUGCGAUCGCAUAAUCGUGUUUUUCUGGAGGGACUGUCAUAUAUAUCCUAACCCCAUGCUGAGGCUAGAAGUUUAUGUAGUCUACUUUGUGCCACUCAAUGUACCAUUAUACACCAUGCUAAAUACCUACAUUAAUUUAUAGACUACCAUAGUAUACCUACACAAUAAGUUUUUGGUCUGUCCUCGCCUUGAUUUCUCUCCUUGUUGGUCUCCUUGUUGGUCUGUCCUCUCCUUGUGUCCUCUCCUUGUUGGUCUGUCCUCUCCUUUGGUCCUCUCCUUGUUGGUCUGUCCUCUCCUUGUGUCCUCUCUUUCAAGGAUUCAAGGAGUUUAAUUGUCAUUGUAAUACACAAUGAAAUACAGUUUGGUGUUUAAAUGUCUAAAUGACACAAAACAUAAAAAGACAAAAUAAGACGAUGACAAAUACAUAGGCGUCGGGGACGCGUCCCCACCAGAUUUCGUCAAGAUUAAUUUUGUACCCACCACCUGUAAAAAAUAAUAACCUACCGGGUAGUUGAAUUAUUAUGGAUUAUUACACGGGUCUUCUCAAUGCCGUGGAAUUCUCAGUUUACUUGUAUGGGCUCUUCACAACUUCCGGCGGUGUGUUAUAUUUGAUAAUUCACCGUUGCUAAGUAUAAUUGACUGCUGUCAAGGAAAACAAAGAACUUUUUGCCUCUAAUGGCGUCUUUGGUAUCACUCCUCAAGUAGUCUGGUAAAUUUUCAACCCCAGCGUCUUCAGUUGCUAGGCGACGUCAACGUCUUUGGCAGACUAUUUCUCUUCUGAUCAACACUAUGAAUGCUGGUAACAAAUAAAUUGUAAAAAGACACACCAUGUGAAGUUAUUUCUUUUUUUUUUUCAAGUGGUCGGCUGUUUUAACUUGUAAUUGAUAGUCGGUGGAGUCAGUCUCUUGUUGACACAAAGUGACUUUUGGUCAUUCUUGCUUCACUUGAAUUCUGGAAUAAUUGUUGGGGGGGGGGGGGAGUCCAUGAGUUUGGGUUCGAAUGCCUGAUGCAGGCUAGAUUGGAUGAAAUGCGUGUUGGGAAUUGAGAACAGCCAGCCCAUGAUGUGAUACAGCGUUCUGUGCAACAAAUAUUUUUUUCUUUUUCAAUCUUGACGAGUGUGUAGCCACACGUUCGGCCCUUCUGAACUUAAACGCGCAGUUAAUUUCCAUUCCUAGCUCUUCUUGUUUAUGUUGUUAGCUUAGCCAUGUCAUGUCACGUUGUCAACAUUGGAUACAUGGAGCAGAACUGGGUCAUAUGUCCGAUGCUUUUUUGGAAACGUUUUCUUCAUAAAACGUGCCAGACAGAUUUUGUAUACAUUUUAUUCCUUAGUAAUUAGCUACAUGGGUAUGCCGUCUUUCAGAACCUUUCAUUACCGGCACUAAAGAGAGAAAAAAUUGUAGCCAGCACUUCUGAAAAUGCACUUCCGAAUGCGUCUCUGUCCCCAAAUAAGAAAAUGAUACAAAGACAAAGUCAAAA
Molecule: long non-coding RNA, 8510 nt
Organism: Gadus chalcogrammus (walleye pollock)
Lineage: Eukaryota; Metazoa; Chordata; Actinopteri; Gadiformes; Gadidae
Exons: 5
Source: RefSeq, a predicted model, not a curated record